GCAAUACAGCAGUGGCAGACGGGUGAGUAACACGUGGGAACCUUCCUAGGGGUACGGAACAACUCAGGGAAACUUGAGCUAAUACCGUAUACGUCCGUGAGGAGAAAGAUUUAUCGCCCUUAGACGGGCCCGCGUCGGAUUAGGUAGUUGGUGGGGUAACGGCCUACCAAGCCUACGAUCCGUAGCUGAUCUGAGAGGAUGAUCAGCCACACUGGNGACUGAGACACGGCCCAGACUCCUACGGGAGGCAGCAGUGGGGAAUCUUGGACAAUGGGCGCAAGCCUGAUCCAGCCAUGCCGCGUGAGUGAAGAAGGCCUUAGGGUUGUAAAGCUCUUUUGCCAGGGACGAUAAUGACGGUACCUGGAGAAUAAGCCCCGGCAAACUUCGUGCCAGCAGCCGCGGUAAUACGAAGGGGGCUAGCGUUGUUCGGAAUUACUGGGCGUAAAGCGCACGUAGGCGGGUUGUUAAGUCAGGGGUGAAAUCCCGGAGCUCAACUCCGGAACUGCCUUUGAUACUGGCAAUCUAGAGACUGGAAGAGGUUAGUGGAAUUCCCAGUGUAGAGGUGAAACUCGUAGAUAUUGGGAAGAACACCAGUGGCGAAGGCGGCUAACUGGUCCAGUACUGACGCUGAGGUGCGAAAGCGUGGGGAGCAACAGGAUUAGAUACCCUGGUAGUCCACGCCGUAAACUAUGGAUGCUAGCCGUCAGCGAGCUUGCUCGUUGGUGGCGCAGCUAACGCAUUAAGCAUCCCGCCUGGGGAGUACGGUCGCAAGAUUAAAACUCAAAUGAAUUGACGG
Molecule: ribosomal RNA, 796 nt
Filed under: uncultured bacterium
Lineage: Bacteria
Description: bacterial SSU rRNA
Rfam family: Bacterial small subunit ribosomal RNA
Source: RNAcentral